Molecule: ribosomal RNA, 253 nt
Filed under: uncultured bacterium
Lineage: Bacteria
Description: partial 16S ribosomal RNA
Rfam family: Bacterial small subunit ribosomal RNA
Source: RNAcentral
UACGUAGGUGGCAAGCGUUGUCCGGAAUUAUUGGGCGUAAAGCGCGCGCAGGCGGUUUCUUAAGUCUGAUGUGAAAGCCCACGGCUCAACCGUGGAGGGUCAUUGGAAACUGGGAGACUUGAGUGCAGAAGAGGAAAGUGGAAUUCCGGGUGUAGUGGUGGAAUACGUAGAUAUCCGGAGGAACACCAGCGGCGAAGGCGGCUUUCUGGUCUGAUACUGACGCUGAGGCGCGAAAGCGUGGGGAGCGAUCCGG